Molecule: ribosomal RNA, 548 nt
Filed under: uncultured bacterium
Lineage: Bacteria
Description: bacterial SSU rRNA
Rfam family: Bacterial small subunit ribosomal RNA
Source: RNAcentral
UAGGGAAUCUUCCGCAAUGGGCGAAAGCCUGACGGAGCAACGCCGCGUGAGUGAAGAAGGAUUUCGGUUCGUAAAGCUCUGUUGUUAGGGAAGAAUGAUUGUGUAGUAACUAUACACAGUAGAGACGGUACCUAACCAGAAAGCCACGGCUAACUACGUGCCAGCAGCCGCGGUAAUACGUAGGUGGCAAGCGUUGUCCGGAAUUAUUGGGCGUAAAGCGCGCGCAGGUGGUUUAAUAAGUCUGAUGUGAAAGCCCACGGCUCAACCGUGGAGGGUCAUUGGAAACUGUUAAACUUGAGUGCAGGAGAGAAAAGUGGAAUUCCUAGUGUAGCGGUGAAAUGCGUAGAGAUUAGGAGGAACACCAGUGGCGAAGGCGGCUUUUUGGCCUGUAACUGACACUGAGGCGCGAAAGCGUGGGGAGCAAACAGGAUUAGAUACCCUGGUAGUCCACGCCGUAAACGAUGAGUGCUAAGUGUUGGUCUCAUAAGAGAUCAGUGCCGCAGCUAACGCAUUAAGCACUCCGCCUGGGGAGUACGACCGCAAGGUUG